This 232-nucleotide ribosomal RNA is filed under the name uncultured bacterium. RNAcentral's name for it is "partial 16S ribosomal RNA". It matches the Rfam family "Bacterial small subunit ribosomal RNA", at positions 85 to 334 of the family's 1533-position model. The record is from RNAcentral.
UUCGGGGUUAGUGGCGGACGGGUGAGUAACACGUGGGAAUGUGCCCUUAGGUUCGGAACAACACAGGGAAACUUGUGCUAAUACCGGAUGUGCCCUUCGGGGGAAAGAUUUAUUGCCUUUGGAGCAGCCCGCGUCUGAUUAGCUUGUUGGUGAGGUAAAGGCUCACCAAGGCGACGAUCAGUAGCUGGUCUGAGAGGAUGGCCAGCCACAUUGGGACUGAGACACGGCCCAA